Molecule: long non-coding RNA, 378 nt
Filed under: Hordeum vulgare
Lineage: Eukaryota; Viridiplantae; Streptophyta; Magnoliopsida; Poales; Poaceae
Description: long non-coding RNA (HVUL_LNC008735)
Source: RNAcentral
UUUUUAGAUAAGCUGAAACUAGAUAUGCGACUAUUUAAGCUUGCAGAUAUACGCGGGUUUUAAAAAUAAUUUGAAAUGGAUGUAUGCGGUCAGUUUUGGAUGACCGACCGUAUCUAUGAAAUUGAAACUUUCCUUCUACCCACGUGCAAAUAUGAUGCACGGUUUGUGGGUAAGAGCAAGUACAAUAGUAUAGCCAACUGUUGGCUAUAAGCCAUUGUCAUGUCAUCUAUAGCCCACCUUAUAGCCAACAUGUACAAUAGUUCAUUGCAAAAGUGUACUAUUUUUAUUAUAUAGCCCACCUUUCAUACUCACAAAAGGCCUAGGAGCACGUGCUAGAGCUGUCUCUUAGCUAACAGCCCGCUUACCUUCUCUCUCCUC